This 20-nucleotide non-coding RNA is filed under the name Mus musculus (house mouse). The record is from RNAcentral. Lineage: Eukaryota; Metazoa; Chordata; Mammalia; Rodentia; Muridae.
GUAUGAUUUUGAGCUCAUGU